Leopardus geoffroyi (Geoffroy's cat) is the source of this 630-nucleotide long non-coding RNA. RefSeq lists it as uncharacterized. Lineage: Eukaryota; Metazoa; Chordata; Mammalia; Carnivora; Felidae. The transcript has 3 exons. The record is from RefSeq and is a predicted model, not a curated record.
UUGAAUGUGUAUGUGUAGGUCUACUUAUGGACUCUCUGUCCUGUGCUUUUGUGCUCUGUGUCUAUCACUUUUUCAAGUGCCACACUGCCUUUAUUACUGGAGCUUUAGACUAAUUCCAAAAUCAGAUGGUGAAGAAAAGUCCUUGAUUAGUCCUACUGCUUUAGAAGACCAGGCACCAUGGUUUCCAUCAAUAAUAAGGAGAGAGAUCAUCACUUGGCUUCAUUGCUGUCUCUAAAACUCAAAUGAAUACACCUGGGAGGAUUCGAGAAGUCACUGAUUGGAUAGUUACAUCAAAAUCAAAGAUCCAAGUCUAUAUGUGCUACAGAGCCAUCCCUCGCCCUAGUCACAGCCAUCUGGUUUCCUUCCACAUCUUGCUAUCUCAGUAAAGCUAAAGGAACAAGCUGAUCUGCUGGGAGCAAAUCAAUUUCUCAUUAUCCUUAAUGUGUGAAGAUGAGACUACUGACAGUGAUCACAGUCUUUGUCUACGGAGAGGGUUGAAAACUUGUGUUUACAUAACAGAAAAUGUUUUCAUGUAGAAGAGACGGAAUAGGCAUACGUGGCUGUGGGAUGCUGUGCCUUAACGUGGAAGCUAAUUCCUCUCAACAAAUAAACUUAGCAUUUCUCAUCGUA